GACGAACGCUGGCGGCGUGCUUAACACAUGCAAGUCGAACGGAAAGGCCCUGCUUUUGUGGGGUGCUCGAGUGGCGAACGGGUGAGUAACACGUGAGUAACCUGCCCUUGACUUUGGGAUAACUUCAGGAAACUGGGGCUAAUACCGGAUAGGAGCUCCGGCUGCAUGGUGGGGGUUGGAAAGUUUCGGCGGUUGGGGAUGGACUCGCGGCUUAUCAGCUUGUUGGUGGGGUAGUGGCUUACCAAGGCUUUGACGGGUAGCCGGCCUGAGAGGGUGACCGGCCACAUUGCGACUGAGAUACGGCCCAGACUCCUACGGGAGGCAGCAGUGGGGAAUAUUGCACAAUGGGCGGAAGCCUGAUGCAGCAACGCCGCGUGCGGGAUGACGGCCUUCGGGUUGUAAACCGCUUUCGCCUGUGACGAAGCGUGAGUGACGGUAAUGGGUAAAGAAGCACCGGCUAACUACGUG
RNAcentral lists this ribosomal RNA (468 nucleotides) under uncultured bacterium. RNAcentral describes it as "partial 16S ribosomal RNA". It matches the Rfam family "Bacterial small subunit ribosomal RNA", at positions 28 to 507 of the family's 1533-position model. The record is from RNAcentral.